RNAcentral lists this long non-coding RNA (320 nucleotides) under Fukomys damarensis (Damara mole-rat). Its description in RNAcentral is "lncRNA (ENSFDAG00000022248.1)". Lineage: Eukaryota; Metazoa; Chordata; Mammalia; Rodentia; Bathyergidae. The record is from RNAcentral.
CAUGAGCAUUCGGGUUUUAUGUUGAACACCUGGUACCCAUGUAGCCUGGCCAGUGUCCAUUCACUAACAAGUUCUGGGCAGUAAAGAAACAGAAUUUGGGAGGUGAUCAGAGUGUAGCUAGUCUUGUCAACUGCAGUCUUUGAAUGAGCAGCUACAAAAACAGACUUAAUGACAAUGCUAAAGUCAUGACUGACCAGAAAGAAAUGGAUCUCUCUGCAGCACAUCAUCUAUGAAUGGAGUGGAGAGCAUUUGCCAGGACAGAGGCAAAACUUGGUAAGGACAACUGUGUAAAAUUUCAGUACCUUAAAAAAGGGUGCAGA